GUCAAGCCUGAUGGCAGCAGGGAAGAAGAAGGCCUGGCUAGAUAACAGGUCAAGCCUGAUGGCAGCAGGGAAGAAGAAGGCCUGGCUAGAUAACAGGUCAAGCCUGAUGGCAGCAGGGAAGAAGAAGGCCUGGCUAGAUAACAGGUCAAGCCUGAUGGCAGCAGGGAAGAAGAAGGCCUGGCUAGAUAACAGGUCAAGCCUGAAGGCAGCAGGGAAGACUGUCAUUGUACAGGCCGUGAGUACACACACACACACACACACGGUUGUUGAUUGGGGAGUGAGGCACACUGGGGUCCUUCCCAAAUGGUACCCUAUUCCCUGUUUACUGUACUGUUUUUGACCAGGGCCCAUAGGGUGCUAUUGGGACAGCGUUGGGAUGAGGAGAGGGACUUAAAACCAUACAAAGCAUGUCUGGGGUUGGAAAACUCAAAGCAGCUACAAAUUACCAUGAGCCAGGUCACACCAAUUAAUGGUUUAUUAAUUAGCCUUUUGUCUGACUGUCUGUCUGUACACUGUCUGUCUGUACACUGUCUGUCUGUACACUGUCUG
This 549-nucleotide long non-coding RNA is filed under the name Salmo salar (Atlantic salmon). RNAcentral's name for it is "lncRNA (ENSSSAG00000098307.1)". The record is from RNAcentral. Lineage: Eukaryota; Metazoa; Chordata; Actinopteri; Salmoniformes; Salmonidae.